Molecule: transfer RNA, 65 nt
Filed under: Opiliones sp. MT-2014
Lineage: Eukaryota; Metazoa; Arthropoda; Arachnida; Opiliones
Description: tRNA-Tyr
Source: RNAcentral
GGUAAAAUGUCUGAGUUGAGGAGAUAAAUUGUAAAUUUAUUAACGAGCUAGCUGCUCUUUUACCA